GUGCCAGCCGCCGCGGUAAUUCCAGCUCCAAUAGCGUAUAUUAAAGUUGUUGUGGUUAAAAAGCUCGUAGUUGAACCUUGGGCCUGGCUGGCCGGUCCGCCUCACCGCGUGCACUGGUCCGGCCGGGCCUUUCCCUCUGUGGAACCCCAUACCCUUCACUGGGCGUGGCGGGGAAACAGGACAUUUACUUUGAAAAAAUUAGAGUGCUCCAGGCAGGCCUAUGCUCGAAUACAUUAGCAUGGAAUAAUAAAAUAGGACGCGCGGUUCUAUUUUGUUGGUUUAUAGGACCGCCGUAAUGAUUAAUAGGGACAGUCGGGGGCAUCAGUAUUCAACUGUCAGAGGUGAAAUUCUUGGAUCAGUUGAAGACUAACUACUGCGAAAGCAUUUGCCAAGGAUGUUUUCAUUAAUCAGGAACGAAAGUUAGGGGAUCGAAGACGAUCAGAUACCGUCGUAGUCUUAACCAUAAACUAUGCCGACUAGGGAUCGGACGGUGUUAUUCAUGACCCGUUCGGCACCUUACGAGAAAUCAAAGUGCUUGGGCUCCAGGGGGAGUAUGGUCGCAAGGCUGAAACUUAAAGAAAUUGACGGAAGGGCACCACCAGGGGUGGAGCCUGCGGCUUAAUUUGACUCAACACGGGGAAACUCACCAGGUCCAGACACAAUAAGGAUUGACAGAUUGAGAGCUCUUUCUUGAUUUUGUGGUGGUGUGCAUGGCCGUCUAAGUGGUGGGGUGACUUGUCUGCUUAAUUGCGAUAACGAACGAGACCUUAACCUGCUAAAUAAGCCCGCAUUGCUCCGGCAGU
RNAcentral lists this ribosomal RNA (803 nucleotides) under uncultured fungus. RNAcentral describes it as "SSU rRNA". It matches the Rfam family "Eukaryotic small subunit ribosomal RNA", at positions 564 to 1378 of the family's 1831-position model. The record is from RNAcentral. Lineage: Eukaryota; Fungi.